UGUAAGUUAACGUAGUCCAAGGUU
RNAcentral lists this microRNA (24 nucleotides) under Platynereis dumerilii (Dumeril's clam worm). Its description in RNAcentral is "Pdu-Mir-1990-P1_5p (mature (guide))". The record is from RNAcentral. Lineage: Eukaryota; Metazoa; Annelida; Polychaeta; Phyllodocida; Nereididae. RNAcentral also lists the same sequence under 1 other name.